GAUUAGAUUUAUAUUUUUAUAAUCUACCUCACCUUCGAUCUCGGAAGCUAAGCAGGGUCGGGCCUGGUUAGUACUUGGAGGGGAGACCACCUAGGAAGACCAGGUGCUGUAGGCG
This 115-nucleotide ribosomal RNA is filed under the name Pteropus alecto (black flying fox). The record is from RNAcentral. Lineage: Eukaryota; Metazoa; Chordata; Mammalia; Chiroptera; Pteropodidae.